Molecule: long non-coding RNA, 604 nt
Filed under: Carica papaya (papaya)
Lineage: Eukaryota; Viridiplantae; Streptophyta; Magnoliopsida; Brassicales; Caricaceae
Description: long non-coding RNA (CPAP_LNC011447)
Source: RNAcentral
CUAAACUUAUCUACCUUUGCAAGAGCAUCCUCUUUCGAAGAGACCAAGUAUUAGUUAGCUGAGAUAAAGAAAGCUUUCGCGACUCUUGAGAUGACUCUUGAACAGAAGGUGAUACUUACUACCUACAUGCUCGUGAGAGAGGCAAGUCAUUGGUGACAAUUAAAGCAGGCCACCUUGCUCAUUCCAGUCUCUUGGGAACAGUUCCUGAUGACCUUUAAUGCAGAGUACCUCCUAGAGCACUUUUGGCAUUUGAAGGAAAUAAAGUUUGUACACCUAGUCUAUGGUGAUGUGACUAUGUCAGAGUAUGCUCGAAGGGUCCUAGAGUUGGAUCGGUAUUCCUGCGAGAGUAUGAUGGAUGAAGGUAGAAAAACAUGAAAGUUCAAGUGGGGCAUCCGUCUUGAUAUCAGACAACAGCUGUAUGUGUUUAAGCUCAGUACGUACUCUGCUGUUCUGGCCAAGACACAAGUAGUAGAGAGGAACCUGCAUAUCUUCUCUCCAGUAGUGAGAAAUUUCAGACUUUUAGUUUCACACCGCAGACCAGCACCCACUGUAUCGGUUCAACAGAACAAGAGGCCUAGGUCUGUGGCUAAAGCUCUUCCUCAAG